This is a non-coding RNA of Triticum aestivum (bread wheat), 115 nucleotides long. NCBI's taxonomy places the organism in Eukaryota, Viridiplantae, Streptophyta, Magnoliopsida, Poales, Poaceae. The record is from Rfam.
CACCUACUCUCUCCGUCCGGAAUUAUUUGUAUCGGAACUGGAUGUAUCUAGAACUAAAAUACGUCUAGAUACAUCCAUUUCUGCGACAAGUAAUUCCGAACGAAGGGAGUAGCUC